RNAcentral lists this ribosomal RNA (887 nucleotides) under uncultured archaeon. RNAcentral describes it as "bacterial SSU rRNA". It matches the Rfam family "Archaeal small subunit ribosomal RNA", at positions 21 to 917 of the family's 1478-position model. The record is from RNAcentral.
ACCUGACUGCUAUCGGAUUGGUACUAAGCCAUGUGAGUCAUUGUAGCAAUACAAGGCAUACGGCUCAGUAACACGUAGUCAAUCUGCCCUAUGGACGUGGAUAACCUCGGGAAACUGAGAAUAAUCCGCGAUAGAUCAUAAUGCCUGGAACGGUUUAUGGUCCAAAUGAUUCGUCGCCAUAGGAUGGGACUGCGGCCUAUCAGCUUGUUGGUGAGGUAAUGGCCCACCAAGGCUAUUACAGGUACGGGCUCUGAGAGGAGAAGCCUGGAGAUGGGUACUGAGACACGGACCCAGGCCCUAUGGGGCGCAGCAGGCGAGAAACCUUUGCAAUGUGCGCAAGCACGACAAGGUUAAUCCGAGUGUUUCCUGCUAAAGGAAUCUUUUGUUAGUUCUAAAACCACUGAUGAAUAAGGGGUGGGCAAGUUCUGGUGUCAGCCGCCGCGGUAAAACCAGCACCUCAAGUGGUCAGGAGGAUUAUUGGGCCUAAAGCAUCCGUAGCCGGUUCUGUAAGUUUUCGGUUAAAUCCACUAGCUCAACUAAUGGGCUGCCGGAAAUACUGCAGAACUAGGGAGUGGGAGAGGUAGACGGUACUCGGGAGGAAGGGGUAAAAUCCUUUGAUCUCUUGAUGACCACCUGUGGCGAAGGCGGUCUACCAGAACACGUUCGACGGUGAGGGAUGAAAGCUGGGGGAGCAAACCGGAUUAGAUACCCGGGUAGUCCCAGCUGUAAACGAUGCAGACUCGGUGAUGCACUGGCUUUUGGCCAGUGCAGUGCCGCAGGAAGCCGUUAAGUUUGCCGUCUGGGAAGUACGUACGCAAGUAUGAAACUUAAAGGAAUUGGCGGGGGAGCACACAAGGGUGAAGUCUGCGGUUCAAUUGGAUUCAACG